GUUCGAUCGCUCAAACAAAUAGUUGGGCGUACAAAUAGCCCGGCAAAUGGACAGCGACGUUCGUAGUUCACCGUUCGGAACUAAACGCACGUUCGAUCGCCCAUCGGUUCGUUGUUCGCGUUCGUCGGUUGUCCAAAAUUAAUUCCGGCAGCAACGUUCGCGAAAAAACCGCGCAUCGCUAUAGUUAACUUGGAAUUUGGCACAUGCCAGGCAAAUCCAAGCGAUUCGCAGAGGUGUGGAGACGUCGCAAAUGGCCAAGGCUGGAUGGAUUUGGAGGCUCCACUUUGCGAGAGAAAGUUUAAAGCAGUUCAAAGCGUCAAGACGCGUUGUUCGAUGCCAUUAACCAGGAACCGGUUUAAUUGAUUUCUUAAAUUAGCUUCGAUAUAUAGAUAGGCGGAUAGACAGCUUAAAUCGUGGCAGUCGAGGAAAAUGAA
This 434-nucleotide unclassified non-coding RNA is filed under the name Bombus terrestris (buff-tailed bumblebee). RNAcentral describes it as "misc RNA ENSBTSG00005024594.1". Lineage: Eukaryota; Metazoa; Arthropoda; Insecta; Hymenoptera; Apidae. The record is from RNAcentral.